UUGGAGGGCAAGUCUGGUGCCAGCAGCCGCGGUAAUUCCAGCUCCAAUAGCGUAUAUUAAAGUUGUUGCAGUUAAAAAGCUCGUAGUUGAAUUUCGGGAUCAGUAUGCUGGUCGUGCCUUCGGUACUAUGCACUGGUGUCACUGAUUCCUCCCUUCUGAAGAACCGUAAUGCCGUUCAGUUGGUGUGGCGGGGAAUCAGGAUUGUUACUUUGAAAAAUUAGAGUGUUUAAAGCAGGCUCGCGCUUGAAUACAUUAGCAUGGAAUAAUGAAAUAGGACGUUUGAUCCUAUUUUGUUGGUUUCUAGGAUCGACGUAAUGAUUAAUAGGGAUAGUUGGGGGGCAUUAGUGUUCUAAUUAGUUC
RNAcentral lists this ribosomal RNA (360 nucleotides) under uncultured Glomus. RNAcentral describes it as "bacterial SSU rRNA". It matches the Rfam family "Eukaryotic small subunit ribosomal RNA", at positions 548 to 911 of the family's 1831-position model. The record is from RNAcentral. Lineage: Eukaryota; Fungi; Glomeromycota; Glomeromycetes; Glomerales; Glomeraceae.